AUUCAGAUAAAUCCGAGUCGACAUAAUCCGUAAUACGAUUUGCUGCAUUCCUGCUUCUCCUUCUUUUAUAAGAUAUAGAGUCAUCAGAGUUUGAACUCUCAUCUUUCUCAACAUAGGAAGCUUCAUUCGAAGAUCGUGCGCGGCUUCGCGUCAAUCGUAUUAAAGACGAAAGAUCUGGUUUACCUCCUCUAGAUUCCCAGUAUGCGUCUAUUAAUUCCAGACAGCCCGCACAAUCUUCUUCAUCAUUCCAUGUAUUAUCGGAAGGGUCAUCGUACCCUUCCCAUUUCAAAUAAUAUUGGAAGCCUGAUCCAUCCUACAUGGUUAGCAAGACAAGUAUUAAUGUUGCGCACCUUUUUCAUCCUACUAUCUAGAAUCAUUUCCACGGCGAAUUCUUCAUCUGAAUUUUUAUCUUCACUACCAGAACUAGCAAUAUACUCAAACCCUUCAUUCAGAGGAACGGGUGAUUGAGAGUUAUGAUCAUCAGAACCACUAGUCUUUUCGAAAUUUGAAGAAACAGAAGCAGAAGAUGAACUUUUAAAUUCGUUUUUGUAACUAGAAGAUUCAUCCUCUUCUUUUUUAUCUUCAGAGUCUUCCAUGUUAGAGAUUGGAGACAAUUUGGAACUUUUGACUUUUCUUAUUUCACAACUGAACGACACAUUGUGAGUCUUCUGAGACCCUGAAUUUCCAUGACUGUAUAAGUCUAAAGAAUUUUGAAUAUGGGUUUUUUCGGGAACACUAAGACCGUAAAGCGAAGGAUGCCAUGAACCAUUUUGAGGACUUUCCAAACUCGCUGUCGAAGACUUAUUGUUAAUUGAAUUUUCGGCUUCUUCAACAGUGAAUGGUGGAGGACUAAAAUUUUCAUCACUUUCACUGAUUAUACUAUUCAUUAGGUCAAGGUCGGCACUUUUGACCAUUAUUAAGACUUUCCAGAUAUACCAACAUAAAUUAUUAACCCUUCAUAUAUCAAUUAAAAAUUUAAUAAAAAAUAUUCUGCUCUAAUUAAUUUGAUGCUGGUUAUGCAAUAAUAUUGCUGCUUAUAUGUUUAUUUCGACGGAUUCAUUGAUAUUUUCUCCUCCCUUUAUAAAUACAGUUUUAAAAGAUCCGCCAAGAAAAAGUAUUUUGAAUAUAAUUGACAGUUUUUAUAUAUUGUGAAAGGACAACGGAAAUUUUAGGUAAGGUUUAUCACAAAGCGAUUUACAAUCCAG
This is a non-coding RNA of Schizosaccharomyces pombe (fission yeast), 1205 nucleotides long. The record is from the annotation of a GenBank genome assembly. NCBI's taxonomy places the organism in Eukaryota, Fungi, Ascomycota, Schizosaccharomycetes, Schizosaccharomycetales, Schizosaccharomycetaceae.